This 485-nucleotide ribosomal RNA is filed under the name uncultured bacterium. RNAcentral describes it as "bacterial SSU rRNA". It matches the Rfam family "Bacterial small subunit ribosomal RNA", at positions 29 to 526 of the family's 1533-position model. The record is from RNAcentral.
AAUGAACGUUGGCGGCAUGGAUUAGGCAUGCGAGUCGAGCGCGAAGUGUAGCAAUACAUGGAGAGCGGCGAAAGGGAGAGGAAUACAUAGGUACCUACCUUCUGGUCUGGGAUAGCGUUGGGAAACUGACGGUAAUACCAGAUAAAGUCUCCGGACCAAAGGUGUGAUUCCACCGGGAGAUGGGCCUAUGACCUAUCAGCUAGUUGGUAAGGUAACGGCUUACUAAGGCUAAGACGGGUACGGGGUGUGAGAGCAUGCCCCCGCUCACUGGGACUGAGACACUGCCCAGACACCUACGGGUGGCUGCAGUCGAGAAUCUUCGGCAAUGGGCGAAAGCCUGACCGAGCGAUGCCGCGUGUGGGAUGAAGGCCUUCGGGUUGUAAACCACUGUCGUAGAGGAUUAAUGGUAGGUAAGUUAUCUUAUCUAUUUGAAUGAUUCUAGGAGGAAGGACGGGCUAGGUUCGUGCCAGCCGCCGCCGUAAUAC